This 376-nucleotide ribosomal RNA is filed under the name uncultured organism. RNAcentral describes it as "partial 16S ribosomal RNA". It matches the Rfam family "Bacterial small subunit ribosomal RNA", at positions 527 to 896 of the family's 1533-position model. The record is from RNAcentral.
GGAGGGGGCGAGCGUUAUUCGGAAUUAUUGGGCGUAAAGGGCAGGUAGGCGGCUUUGCGUGUCCUCUGUGAAAGCCCUCGGCUCAACCGAGGAAUUGCAGGGGAAACUGCAGAGCUUGAGUCCGGGAGAGGCUAGUGGAAUUCCCAGUGUAGCGGUGAAAUGCGUAGAUAUUGGGAGGAACACCAGUGGCGAAGGCGGCUAGCUGGACCGGUACUGACGCUGAUCUGCGAAAGCUAGGGGAGCAAACGGGGGAUUAGAUACCCCGGUAGUUCUGGCUGUAAACGCUGAGCACUUGGUGUGGCGGGUAUCGACCCCCCUGCCCGUGCCGGAGCUAACGCAUUAAGUGCUCCGCCUGGGGAGUACGGUCGCAAGGCUG